This 21-nucleotide non-coding RNA is filed under the name Rattus norvegicus (Norway rat). Lineage: Eukaryota; Metazoa; Chordata; Mammalia; Rodentia; Muridae. The record is from RNAcentral.
CAGAAACCUGCCGGGCACAAA